This 451-nucleotide long non-coding RNA is filed under the name Salvia miltiorrhiza (redroot sage). RNAcentral describes it as "long non-coding RNA (SMIL_LNC014103)". The record is from RNAcentral. Lineage: Eukaryota; Viridiplantae; Streptophyta; Magnoliopsida; Lamiales; Lamiaceae.
AAACAAAAGAAAAGAAAACCCUUGAGAGCACAAAGAGCAAACUAAGGGUCGAGCCUCAUUAAAACCCCUCUAAGGCAAACCCGCGAGGGAAAAUCCUUAAAGGGGAAAAAGAGUACUCGUUGACGCACAAACGUGAAAGGAAGCGGAGGUGAGACAACUUCAAAGGUUCCGGCCUAACCAUCACCCCUAAGUUGCUCGGUUUCCUAUCACAAAAAGAAAACGAACAAAGGACAAACCAACACAAAAACCAAGCAGCGCAAAAAAAGAAGACAACACAGACCCUGCCAACCCUGCAAGCGAAACGAAGGAGGAGAUAAAACUCCGAGACUCAGCUCAUCAAUGACGGCACCGGCUGAAUCCCACCAAAAACCGACCCCGAGAAAGGGAGUCGAAAUCCAAAGGAAUCCGACCAGCUUCGCCCCCGAGCCGAGCGCACCCGGACACGGAAAGG